UCUGAUGUAUUCCGAGGGCCUUCAGGUAGCGGAUACUCGUGCUUUUAUCCUUAGGAUUCGAGGGGCUCUUCUUUGUCUGUCGGAGGACCUUGGAGAAAGCCAGCUUCAUGUGUUGAUCUACUGUCUUCAAGAGGAAGUACCUGGACCACAAGAACAAUCGAAGCAAGAGGGAUGCAGGAGCAUAUGAUAAUUUACCUUCCACCCAUCAGUGACCCAGAUGAGCCAUUCCCCACUCCCAGGACCUAGGAUCCUGAGUUCGGACCCCAGCAACCACAUACAUGGUGGCUCACAACCAUCCGUGAUGAGAUCUGAUGCCCUCUUCUGGUGCGUCUGAAGACAGUGGGGCCGGAGCAGAGGGUCCUGAUUUUAAUUCCCAGCUCAUGGCCAUCUGCACAGCUACAGUGUACUCAUACACAUAAAAAAUAAAUAAAAAAAAUCUUAAGACAAA
This is a long non-coding RNA of Mastomys coucha (southern multimammate mouse), 448 nucleotides long. RefSeq lists it as uncharacterized. Lineage: Eukaryota; Metazoa; Chordata; Mammalia; Rodentia; Muridae. The transcript is spliced from 2 exons. The record is from RefSeq and is a predicted model, not a curated record.